CGUGUAGGCGGUCAGGUAAGUGGGACGUGAAAUGCCUCGGCUCACCCGAGGAGCUGCGUCCCAAACUGCUUGGCUUGAGUAUGGGAGAGGAUGUGGGAAUUCCUGGUGUAGCGGUGAAAUGCGUAGAUAUCAGGAGGAACACCGGUGGCGAAGGCGCACAUCUGGCCCAAUACUGACGCUGAGGCGCGAAAGGCUAGGGGAAGCAAACG
Molecule: ribosomal RNA, 209 nt
Filed under: uncultured bacterium
Lineage: Bacteria
Description: partial 16S ribosomal RNA
Rfam family: Bacterial small subunit ribosomal RNA
Source: RNAcentral